This is a long non-coding RNA of Apis mellifera (honey bee), 1137 nucleotides long. RefSeq lists it as uncharacterized. The transcript is spliced from 2 exons. The record is from RefSeq and is a predicted model, not a curated record. Lineage: Eukaryota; Metazoa; Arthropoda; Insecta; Hymenoptera; Apidae.
GCAUUAUUGCUUAUUUUUUGUGCGCAAAUCCUUAAAAACGAGAAUGAUUAAUAUUGAAUAUUUGAUAUAAAAAUAGACUGAAAUAAUUUUUUUUAUAAGUAACAUACAUAUAUUUUUCUAUCUUAAUAAAAUGAUAAAGAGAAAUAAGAAAUAAAGAAGACAUGUCUUACGACUGUAUAAAAUACUAAUACUUUAUUUUUCAAUCGCCCGUGCGUUAUACUACGCACAAUAAGAUAUGUACAAAGUUUAUUGUACCGGCUCUUAUCUCGCCUGAUACAAUUAAUCGCGCAAUUAACCGAUUAAAAAUCAUAUUUUACGUGCUAGGUUUAAAAAUUAACGCAUAAGUGUGAUUUCUGAAUUUAUCUGUUUUCACAUUUCUUUUUUUUUUUUUUUUCCAUUCUUCUGCACACUUUUUCGCUGCGAGUGAGAUUUAAAAAAAAAAGCUACACAUGCUGUUUCGAGCGGUGUAUGCGGUGCCUGAGGUAUAUCAGUGAUGCAUCGUGGGCUGGCACAACCGAUCUUAGGAACCGAGUGGAAUAAGCGACAGAUUGCGCCAUAACCCCCGAAAGGAAAUUCAUUUGGAUAUAAACACAUAUAACGUAACAUAAAUGUAAAAGAACAAAAGGGAACUAUUUUUCUAUCUCGUAAAAAUGCUUCCCUGUUCCUUUCAAAUCUCUCUAUAAUAUAACUCGCACAAGCAGUCAGUGUUUUUUCUUUUCAUUUUCUUUCAUUAUCGCCCACACAUACGUACGCACGCACACAUCUCGUGUAUAUAUAAUGUGUACAUAUAUAUAUAUAAUAAUUUUCCUCGUAUGUAUAGCUAUGUACAAAACACUAAGUGACUCGAUAUGACUAUGUGCAUUUUUCUCCUUAUUUUCUGGUUUUCUUCUCUUAUCUUUUUUUUUUUUUUUUUAGUCCGGCGGAUGAGGAUUAAAAUCGCUUUUCCUCCUAUUUUUCAUCGUUCUUUAGUUUUUUAUUUUUUUUUAUUUUUUAUUUUUAUUAUUUAUUUAAUUAUUUAAUUAUUUAAUUAUUUAUUUAUUUUUUUUUUUGAUACAUAAAAUUGGCGUAGUAGCUUCGUCGUCCUGCUACUAAAAAUUAAGUGUACAAUUCUAUUACGAAAUAGAUGCAUGAAGCGUA